RNAcentral lists this long non-coding RNA (3085 nucleotides) under Sus scrofa (pig). RNAcentral's name for it is "lncRNA (ENSSSCG00025044264.1)". The record is from RNAcentral. Lineage: Eukaryota; Metazoa; Chordata; Mammalia; Artiodactyla; Suidae.
AGACGGCCCGGGUGGCGCUGGGCAGCCGCCAGGCGGCACGUGGGGCGGCCCUGCUCCGCAGACUGUCUGCCUCAGCUUCCAAAACGCCCCGAGAAGCUGGGCGUGUGAGCGAGCCGGAGGCGUCCGCUGCUCGGAGCGUCCCCCCGGACUCAGGCCCCGGGCGCCGCCGCCUUCGGGGCUCACCUGGGUGCAGGUGUGUUCCCGGAGGCUUUUGCACGAGAGGGAGCGGGCCAGCGCCUCCGCGCCCAGUGCCCGUGGCUGCGCGUGCCUUUCUGGACGAUUUUCUAGCCCGUCUGCACCCGGGAGAGGAGAGGGCACGCAGCCUCGCUCCCAGCUCGCGUGAGACCCUCCCCGCGACCCUCCCUCGUUGCAGACGAGGCACGUCCAUAAGGAAACGGCCAUGAACUCACCUGCACCGGCCGCGGCUGCAGCGGCGGGGCGCGUCCGCGGUGUAGACGCCACCGGGUCGGAGGGCGGCAGCUGUGCUUCAGAGCCGGGGGUCAGGAAGCGGCGUCCUGUGGCCCCUGAGCGAGCCGGGGUCUGUGUGGGCGAACGGCCCCGGGGCCAGCGUCCCGAGCGGCCCCCAGGCUCGCGGCGCAGGAUCCAUGGCGAGCCGGCUGCACGCCCGCCGGACCAAGUCCCCAAGGCCACUUCCAGGCUCAGCGGCGCCUUGGACACUCGGGGAAGAGGAGGGAAGCUCGGACACAGGCUGCCACGUGGAGGGACCUUGAACCACGAUGCUCAGGGGGGACGCCAGACCCAGAAGGACACACGGUGUGGGAUUCCGUGGAUAGGACACGUCCAGAACAGAGGAGAGCAUGCCUUUCCCGCACCACCUGCAACUUGCAAGGUGCCUUUUUAUUUUUACCCUGCUGCUCAUGGCGCAAGAAAUGGCAUUAAAAUUCGGGAAUAAAUGAAGAAUUGACCAAGAAGAGACUGAGUGGCACAUGGCGGAUUUCAUUAAUAAGGCACCAUUCAUGGAGAACCCCUGGGCUGAUGCAUUUGCUGAGGAGGCGGGACCUCCAGACCUUGGCCUCAAGACCAGACCAGAGAAUCAAUAUGGCAGAGCUCCGAAGAGAAGGGUCAUCAAGGAGGAAAAUAAGAGACACAGAGGCAGACGCCCACAGGAAGGGCGGUCCUGUGACGGUGAAGACAGCACAGGAUACUGCCAGCCCAGGGACACCAGCAAUUGCCAGCAAACCGCUGGGACCUGUGGGAGAAGCCUGGGAAGACCCCUCUUUGGAGCCCGCAGGAGGAACCCAGCCAGCUCGCACCCUGAUUUCAGACCUCUGCUCUCCAGAACUGGGAGGGGACACGUUGCUGUUGUUUAAGCUUCUCUGUUGCGGGAAACAUCUUACAGCAGCCUUAGGAAACGCACAGAGGGAUGAAAAGAAAACAGCUGCUUAGCGAAGCGCAGAAAGGCCUUCAUUUUCUGCACGGGGUGGAAAGGCAGGCUUUUCUGUGGUUAAGGCAUGCAUUCCCGGGUGCUCAUUCCAGGUGUAUCUGCUACCCACCGAGGUGUAACAAAGGACUCCACAGGUAGAGGCCUCAAACCACACCCAUUUACCACGUCGCAGGUUCUGAAAGGCAGGGAUCCAGGCAGGAGCUGAUGGGGUUCUCUGCUCAAGGGUCACCAGGCCGAAAUCAGGGCUGGGGGGAGGCGUCUCUUCCACGCUCCGUGGCUGCUGGAAGAAUUCAGUGUCUUGUGCUGGAGCACAGAGAUUGUCAUCUCCCAGAAGCCACCUUUGCACCCCUGCCAAGUACUCUUUUCCCGCCAGGUACUUUGCUUCCUCGAGGCCACCGGGUUGUGUCUCUGCUGCUUCCAAGCACGCUGAGCUCGACACCUGAUGAGGCCAGGCCCACCCGGGAGGCUCUUCCAUGUGGUUGGCUUGACUCCGUGGAUAAAAGACUUCAGUGACACCUGCAAAAUCUCUUUGCCUUUGCCAUGCAAUCCCGGCAGUGACCCCUCGUCCUCCUCCCAGUCCGUGUCCGAUUUAGAGAGCCAUGCGCUCUGGCCCCCCGGGACAAAGAAUUAAGGCUGCCGGUCCAAGGGAACUUUGUUUUUUUCUGUUUCUGGGGAGCCUCCCAGGGAAGGAAAGUUUGCUCCAAAAUGUAAAAGGACUUUGUCUGAGCAUUUCCCACAUGAGGAUGAUUGUCUGUCUUGCGGGUUCCAUCAAAGUGACUGUCUCACAGUGUCGUUCGCGCUGCAAAUUGCUGCAUAGGAUGCAGUGGGCAAGCAGGUUCCCCAUUUAACAGCGGAAAUCAGAGCUGCUAUCCACCGGUGCGCAGCCUUUGAGAGAACGGCUUUCAAAAGAACAGCAAACACCGCUGCCUUCUCAGGAAGAGAAGGCAAAAGAAGAAAGCAAAGAUGCAUACCCCAAGGAGAAGCCUGGGUUCAGAGUGACCCCCCUCCCACAAAGUGGGGGGCCCUGGAGAGCCUCUGUUUCCUCCUUGCUGGGAAGAGGGCAUCAUCGCAUUUAUUUCAUGAACAGCAUUUAGUGGGACGGUGUGACCUGCACGUACCAGACACCCAGCCAAUACCCAGGAGCCUGUUUUUAGAAGCCCCCCUGACCUAGGGACCCCUCACCCACCCUCAUGCCUUCGGAAGCCUUUGGCACUUCUUUACAGAAAAACAGAGGGUCUGCGCUCCUGUUCCCCCACCUUAGAUGCUCGGUUUGGGACUUGGGACAUAUUUGAAGCAUCAGAAUCACAUGCCUUGGUUGUACAGUGCCUGCCAUCAAGUGGGAGCUUAAUAAGUUGCUGUUCAUUAAUGUACAAGUAUAAAUUACAUAAACAAAUAGUAUUAUGCAUAAACUGUAUACAAAAUGUAGUUUAUAUAAAAACUCAGUAUCUACCAAACACGUUCCAUAUAACACAUAAAAUAUACUGAUAGGAGUUCCUGCUGUGGUGCAGUGGGUUAAGGAUCCAGCAUUGCUGCAGCUGUGGUGUGGAUUCAAACUCUGGCCUGGGGAACUUCCUUUUGCCAUGGGUGCCGCGGAAAAAAGAUAAAAAAAUAUUAUAUGUUUACACGUAAAUUUUCAACACCAUUUAACAUUUACUUUAAAAUAAUAAACAUAUAAAAUGU